UAUCCCACUCUCUCUGUCGUCUGUCCUGACAGCUUGUCCCUCGUCAUCCACUAUUGCUCCGCCGUUGUCUCACCGCCAAACUAAUGCCAGUCACUCUUCUUGGCGUGAUCAGUCUUUCACCACAGUUGUCAACAUCUUCUCAUUGAUCAGAUGCUGGAAAUAGAUUAUUUGACUCCUAAAACUUAUGGACUGAGCAAUCCAACCAUCAACGUUGAUUCUUCAAUGGUGAACAGACUAAAACAAUGAAAAAUGAAAAAAACAAAAAAGAACUGUAUAAAUG
This 280-nucleotide long non-coding RNA is filed under the name Ricinus communis (castor bean). RNAcentral's name for it is "long non-coding RNA (RCOM_LNC001398)". The record is from RNAcentral. Lineage: Eukaryota; Viridiplantae; Streptophyta; Magnoliopsida; Malpighiales; Euphorbiaceae.